This 408-nucleotide ribosomal RNA is filed under the name uncultured bacterium. RNAcentral describes it as "partial 16S ribosomal RNA". It matches the Rfam family "Bacterial small subunit ribosomal RNA", at positions 29 to 527 of the family's 1533-position model. The record is from RNAcentral.
AGUGAACGCUGGCGGCGUGCCUAAUACAUGCAAGUCGAACGGAGUGGCGCCCGGGUGAGUAAUGUAUAGCUAAUCUGCCCUACACUAGAGGACAACAGUUGGAAACGGCUGCUAAUACUCUAUAGUGUAGGAUGAGGCUAUAUUGUAUCAGCUAGUUGGUGAGGUAAUGGCUCACCAAGGCUAUGACGCAUAACUGGUCUGAGAGGAUGAUCAGGCACACUGGAACGGAGACACGGUCCAGAAUCCUACGGGAGGGAGCAGUAGGGAAUAGUGCUCAAGGGGGGAAACCCUGAAGCAGCAACGGGGGGUGGAGGAUGACACUUUUCGGAGCGUAAACUCCUUUUGUUAGGGAAGCGGUACGAAAAGAAUAAGCACCGGCUAACUCCGUGCCAGCAGCCGCGGUAAUUG